CCUAACACAUGCAAGUCGAACGCGAAAGCCCCGCAAGGGGUAAGUAGAGUGGCAAACGGGUGAGUAACACGUGGGUGACCUGCCUUAGAGUGGGGGAUAACGUCCCGAAAGGGACGCUAAUACCGCAUAACAUCCUGCCUUUGAAGAGGUGGAGAUCAAAGCCGGGGACCGCAAGGCCUGGCGCUCAAGGAGGGGCCCGCGCCUGAUUAGCUAGUUGGUGAGGUAAUGGCUCACCAAGGCAACGAUCAGUAUCCGGCCUGAGAGGGCGGACGGACACACUGGGACUGAGACACGGCCCAGACUCCUACGGGAGGCAGCAGUGGGGAAUUGUUCGCAAUGGGCGCAAGCCUGACGACGCAACGCCGCGUGGAGGAUGAAGACCUUCGGGUCGUAAACUCCUUUCGAUCGAGACGAAUGGCCCUUGGGUAAACAGCUCAGGGGUAUGACGGUACCGAGAGAAGAAGCCCCGGCUAACUCCGUGCCAGCAGCCCGCGGUAAUACGGGGGGGGCAAGCGUUGUUCGGAAUUACUGGCGUAAAGGGCUCGUAGGUGGCAACUAAGUCAGACGUGAAAUCCCUCGGCUUAACCGGGGAACUGCGUCUGAUACUGGAUGGCUUGAGUUCGGGAGA
This 628-nucleotide ribosomal RNA is filed under the name uncultured Acidobacteriota bacterium. RNAcentral describes it as "bacterial SSU rRNA". It matches the Rfam family "Bacterial small subunit ribosomal RNA", at positions 47 to 655 of the family's 1533-position model. Lineage: Bacteria; Pseudomonadati; Acidobacteriota. The record is from RNAcentral.